ACGCUCACAUUCGCGACCCCAGGUCAGGCGGGAUUACCCGCUGAAUUUAA
Molecule: ribosomal RNA, 50 nt
Filed under: Elatine brachysperma
Lineage: Eukaryota; Viridiplantae; Streptophyta; Magnoliopsida; Malpighiales; Elatinaceae
Description: partial 26S ribosomal RNA
Source: RNAcentral